GGGGCCGAUAGGACCCUAGGGGCUACAGGAGGAGGACAGAGUCGAGGGAAAUACUCUCUGUGCAAUUGUCCUUGGUGAGCUGGGACAAUACGAGUCAUACCUAGGCCGGGGAAGAGGCUUAGGUGGACAGGACCUAGCUGCGGAGCUCAGUGGUCGAAUGGGGAUAGCCUAGACAGGGCCAUGAGAGCGAGUGAAUUAACGGGUAUUAAGUUUUUCCGGAUUGGUUUGGGUCUGUCUGGCGAGGAGAUAUUAAAGGAGAGACAAGUAAUGGGUUGGAAGGUGGACUCCCUAAUCUUCGAUUCUUAUAAGUGAACUACGUUGAAGAGUAGCCGAAAAUGAGGGCGUCCCAUAUUGUCACCGCCCCGUCUGAGCAAACCUCAUGAUCAGAGAGAAAAGGUCUCCUGGUCUUUCGAGGGUUUAUUGGUCAGUUGGGUGCUAAAACGACAGAAUAAAGUUUACAGCGAGACUCCCGAUAGGAUGAGCAAAAUAUCACGAGUACAUAUGGAGCAGAUGCCUACAAGAGGACUUUGCUUAUGCUUUAAGCAUAGCAUUCAGGGCCAGGCGCGGUGGUUCACACUUGUAAUCCCAGCACUUUGAAAGUCCGAGGCAGAAGGAUGGCUUGAGCCCAG
This 629-nucleotide long non-coding RNA is filed under the name Homo sapiens (human). RNAcentral describes it as "HSALNT0241713". Lineage: Eukaryota; Metazoa; Chordata; Mammalia; Primates; Hominidae. The record is from RNAcentral.